GAUGAAGAACGUAGCAAAAUGCGAUAAGUAAUGUGAAUUGCAGAAUUCAGUGAAUCAUCGAAUCUUUGAACGCACAUUGCGCCCGCUGGUAUUCCGGCGGGCAUGCCUGUUCGAGCGUCAUUUCAACCCUCAAGCCCCCGGGUUUGGUGUUGGGGAUCGGCUCUGCCCUUCUGGGCGGUGCCGCCCCCGAAAUACAUUGGCGGUCUCGCUGCAGCCACCAUUGCGUAGUAGCUAACACCUCGCAACUGGAACGCGGCGCGGCCAUGCCGUAAAACCCCAACUUCUGAAUGUUGACCUCGGAUCAGGUAGGAAUACCCGCUGAACUUAAGCAUAUCAAUAAGCGGAGGA
This 348-nucleotide unclassified non-coding RNA is filed under the name soil metagenome. Its description in RNAcentral is "partial contains 5.8S ribosomal RNA, internal transcribed spacer 2, and large subunit ribosomal RNA". The stretch from base 1 to 120 matches the Rfam family "5.8S ribosomal RNA", at positions 35 to 154 of the family's 154-position model. The record is from RNAcentral.